AGAGUUUGAUCAUGGCUCAGGAUGAACGUUGGCGGUGUGCCUAAUACAUGCAAGUCGAACGGAGUUAAUAGCAAUAUUGACUUAGUGGCGAACGGGUGAGUAACGCGUUGGUGAUCUGCCUCGAAGUGUGGAAUAACGUUCCGAAAGGAACGCUAAUACCGCAUGUGCUCUCAAUUUUUAGAAACUUGAGAGUAAAGGAUUUAUUCGCUUCGAGAGGAGCCUGCGUCCCAUCAGCUGGUUGGUAGGGUAACGGCCUACCAAGGCUAUGACGGGUAGGGGACCUGAGAGGGUGGCCCCCCACAAUGGAACUGAAACACGGUCCAUACACCUACGGGUGGCAGCAGUAGGGAAUAUUAGAAAUGGACGAAAGUCUGACCUAGCAACACCGCGUGUGCGAAGAAGGCCUUCGGGUCGUAAAGCACUUUUUGGAAGGAAUAGGAAGGAAUGUACUUCCAGAAUAAGUCUCGGCUAACUACGUGCCAGCAGCCGCGGUAACACGUAGGAGGCAAACGUUAUCCGGAUUUACUGGGCGUAAAGCGCGUGUAGGUGGUACUGUAAGUAGGGCGUGAAAGCUCCCGGCUCAACUGGGAGAGGCCGUUCUAAACUGCAGAACUAGAGGAUGGUAGAGGGAGGUGGAAUUCCAGGUGUAGCGGUGGAGUGCGCAGAUAUCUGGAGGAACACCAGUGGCGAAGGCGGCCUCCUGGACCAUUCCUGACACUCAGACGCGAAAGCUAGGGUAGCAAACGGGAUUAGAGACUCCGGUAGUCCUAGCCCUAAACGAUGUAGACUAGGCGUCGGUGGUUUAAUCACCAUCGGUGUCCAAGCUAACGCGAUAAGUCUACCGCCUGGGGACUACGGCCGCAAGGUUAAAACUCAAAUGAAUUGACGG
Molecule: ribosomal RNA, 889 nt
Filed under: Anaerolineaceae bacterium enrichment culture clone B6_39
Lineage: Bacteria; Bacillati; Chloroflexota; Anaerolineae; Anaerolineales; Anaerolineaceae
Description: bacterial SSU rRNA
Rfam family: Bacterial small subunit ribosomal RNA
Source: RNAcentral